Misgurnus anguillicaudatus (oriental weatherfish) is the source of this 1078-nucleotide long non-coding RNA. RefSeq lists it as uncharacterized. The record is from RefSeq and is a predicted model, not a curated record. Lineage: Eukaryota; Metazoa; Chordata; Actinopteri; Cypriniformes; Cobitidae.
AAUGUCUUUUUUGUGUGUCUCUAUCUGAUGUGUUAUUGUGUAGUGACAACCUGAAUACAUCCAGCGAUGGAAGCCAAGCAUACAAACAGCAAAACAUAAACAUUCAGGACCAGGUCAUUUAUCUGACCAGCAUGUGGGUCAAAGUCUUUCCCCGGGUGUGAUAUCGGCUUCGCAAACAUCUGAUGCUGUCAUUGUGAACGUCUAGUGGACCCUGAAAUAAGGCCGAUGUCUCUCCACACAGUAAGUCAGAUAUCUGAUACAUUCAGCUUUCUGUCUCAGAGGAUUUAAAGCAACACACUGAGUGAGUUUCUCCAACUGGACUGUGUAUUAAAAGACCUCAGACUGAGCCGAGAUCCAUACAGGAGGUUCAGGGGUUGAAUACUGAACACGCCGGUGAGUCACAGAUUUGCUGAGCACCAUGGAGAAAAUCAUCUCUGCUGAUCUCUCGUCUGGUGGUUCAAACCAUCGCCAACGAAAAAACUCUGCCAGACUCAAACAUCUACACCAGCUGCUGAUGCUGCAGCAAACACUUAGACAAUCUCACAGGCUCUGCAGCUCCCCCUUGUGUUUUUUAAAGAGAUGUGCAAUCAUUGCGGUGAUCUGAAAACAUCACGAUGAGGUCAAACUAUCGCGAUGAGACAAUUAUUUAAUCAUUGUGACAGCUCUAAGCAAAAGAGAGACACAGUUUCUGAAUGUGGAGCGAAUCCUGGACCAUUUGAAAAACUAAAUUGAGUCGGAUGGAGGGUACAAGGUCAUGCUGGAACAUCCAUAAACUCCAGUGCACAUCAGGUCAAACAUCUCUACACACUUUCCUAUAUAUAAGACUAAAGUAUGAAGAAAGUGCAAACAUUCAGAUUUAAUUGUUGUCUGAAUGAGGAAAGACUGUGGGAGGUUUCCUAAAACAAGUUACAGAACUGAAGACAUGGAUAUUUUACUAUAUUGAAGCUGUGUCCCAAUUCAAAAGCUGCAUUCCAAGAUUGAUUGCAUUACAGCAGCUCAAAAUGCAUCCAUCUUUCCUUGAGCUGCGGAGGAUAAAACGAAUGGAUCCUUCAUAACCUCGGCCUUCCUGAAAUUCAUU